This 718-nucleotide ribosomal RNA is filed under the name Solitalea canadensis. Its description in RNAcentral is "bacterial SSU rRNA". It matches the Rfam family "Bacterial small subunit ribosomal RNA", at positions 67 to 782 of the family's 1533-position model. The record is from RNAcentral. Lineage: Bacteria; Pseudomonadati; Bacteroidota; Sphingobacteriia; Sphingobacteriales; Sphingobacteriaceae.
CGAGAUUAGAGACUUCGGUUUCUAUGAAAGUGGCGCACGGGUGCGUAACACGUAUGCAACCUACCUUCAAUUGGGGGAUAGCCUUCCGAAAGGGAGAUUAAUACCGCAUAAGAUAUCAGAAUGGCAUCAUUUAGAUAUUAAAACUUUGGUGAUUGAAGAUGGGCAUGCGUUGCAUUAGCUAGUUGGUAAGGUAACGGCUUACCAAGGCUACGAUGCAUAGGGGAUCUGAGAGGAUGGUCCCCCACACUGGUACUGAGAUACGGACCAGACUCCUACGGGAGGCAGCAGUAAGGAAUAUUGGUCAAUGGACGGAAGUCUGAACCAGCCAUGCCGCGUGCAGGAAGACGGCCCUAUGGGUUGUAAACUGCUUUUGUCGGGGAAUAAACCUAGAUACGUGUAUUUAGUUGAAGGUACCCGAAGAAUAAGGAUCGGCUAACUCCGUGCCAGCAGCCGCGGUAAUACGGAGGAUCCAAGCGUUAUCCGGAUUUAUUGGGUUUAAAGGGUGCGUAGGCGGUAAAUUAAGUCAGAGGUGAAAGCCUGCAGCUCAACUGUAGAACUGCCUUUGAUACUGGUUUACUUGAGUACAGAUGAAGUGGGCGGAAUGUGACAAGUAGCGGUGAAAUGCAUAGAUAUGUCACAGAACACCGAUUGCGAAGGCAGCUCACUAAAGUGUAACUGACGCUGAGGCACGAAAGCGUGGGGAUCAAACAGGAUUAGA